RNAcentral lists this ribosomal RNA (1469 nucleotides) under metagenome. Its description in RNAcentral is "bacterial SSU rRNA". It matches the Rfam family "Bacterial small subunit ribosomal RNA". The record is from RNAcentral.
AGAGUUUGAUCAUGGCUCAGGACGAACGCUGGCGGCACGCCUAACACAUGCAAGUCGAACGGAGAUGAUUUGAGUUUACUUAGAUCAUCUUAGUGGCGGACGGGUGAGUAACACGUGAGCAACCUGCCUUUGAGAGAGGGAUAGCUUCUGGAAACGGAUGGUAAUACCUCAUAACAUACAGAUACCGCAUGGUGACUGUAUCAAAGAUUUAUCACUCAAAGAUGGGCUCGCGUCUGAUUAGAUAGUUGGUGAGGUAACGGCUCACCAAGUCGACGAUCAGUAGCCGGACUGAGAGGUUGAACGGCCACAUUGGGACUGAGACACGGCCCAGACUCCUACGGGAGGCAGCAGUGGGGAAUAUUGCACAAUGGAGGAAACCCUGAUGCAGCGGCGCCGCGUGGAGGAAGAAGGUCUUCGGAUUGUAAACUCCUGUUGUUGAGGAAGAUAAUGACGGUACUCAACAAGGAAGUGACGGCUAACUACGUGCCAGCAGCCGCGGUAAAACGUAGGUCACAAGCGUUGUCCGGAAUUACUGGGUGUAAAGGGAGCGCAGGCGGGCGAUCAAGUUGGAAGUGAAAUCCAUGGGCUCAACCCAUGAACUGCUUUCAAAACUGAUUGUCUUGAGUAGUGCAGAGGUAGGCGGAAUUCCCGGUGUAGCGGUGGAAUGCGUAGAUAUCGGGAGGAACACCAGUGGCGAAGGCGGCCUACUGGGCACCAACUGACGCUGAGGCUCGAAAGUGUGGGUAGCAAACAGGAUUAGAUACCCUGGUAGUCCACACCGUAAACGAUGAUUACUAGGUGUUGGGGGAUUGACCCCUUCAGUGCCGCAGUUAACACAAUAAGUAAUCCACCUGGGGAGUACGACCGCAUGGUUGAAACUCAAAGGAAUUGACGGGGGCCCGCACAAGCAGUGGAGUAUGUGGUUUAAUUCGACGCAACGCGAAGAACCUUACCAAGUCUUGACAUCCUGCGACGGACAUAGAAAUAUGUUUUUCCUUCGGGACGCAGAGACAGGUGGUGCAUGGUUGUCGUCAGCUCGUGUCGUGAGAUGUUGGGUUAAGUCCCGCAACGAGCGCAACCCUUAUGGUCAGUUACUACGCAAGAGGACUCUGGCCAGACUGCCGUUGACAAAACGGAGGAAGGUGGGGAUGACGUCAAAUCAUCAUGCCCUUUAUGACUUGGGCUACACACGUACUACAAUGGCGUUAAACAAAGAGAAGCAAGACCGCGAGGUGGAGCAAAACUCAGAAACAACGUCCCAGUUCGGACUGCAGGCUGCAACUCGCCUGCACGAAGUCGGAAUUGCUAGUAAUCGCAGAUCAGCAUGCUGCGGUGAAUACGUUCCCGGGCCUUGUACACACCGCCCGUCACACCAUGAGAGCCGGGGGGACCCGAAGUCGGUAGUCUAACCGCAAGGAGGACGCCGCCGAAGGUAAAACUGGUGAUUGGGGUGAAGUCGUAACAAGGUA